This 26-nucleotide non-coding RNA is filed under the name Mus musculus (house mouse). Lineage: Eukaryota; Metazoa; Chordata; Mammalia; Rodentia; Muridae. The record is from RNAcentral.
UGACUCAGAGAAGGAAGACACACGGA